RNAcentral lists this ribosomal RNA (252 nucleotides) under uncultured bacterium. RNAcentral's name for it is "partial 16S ribosomal RNA". It matches the Rfam family "Bacterial small subunit ribosomal RNA", at positions 524 to 776 of the family's 1533-position model. The record is from RNAcentral.
UACAGAGGUCCCAAGCGUUGUUCGGAUUUACUGGGCGUAAAGGGUGCGUAGGUGGCGGGGUAAGUCUGGUGUGAAAUCUCCGAGCUCAACUCGGAAAAGCAUUGGAAACUAUCCCGCUAGAGGGUCGGAGGGGAGACUGGAAUUCUCGGUGUAGCAGUGAAAUGCGUAGAUAUCGAGAGGAACACCAGUGGCGAAGGCGAGUCUCUGGACGACUCCUGACACUGAGGCACGAAAGCUAGGGGAGCAAACAGG